RNAcentral lists this transfer RNA (74 nucleotides) under Pteropus alecto (black flying fox). It matches the Rfam family "tRNA". Rfam says of the family: Transfer RNA (tRNA) molecules are approximately 80 nucleotides in length. Their secondary structure includes four short double-helical elements and three loops (D, anti-codon, and T loops). The record is from Rfam by way of RNAcentral. Lineage: Eukaryota; Metazoa; Chordata; Mammalia; Chiroptera; Pteropodidae.
GACUCCAUAGAGUAGGGGUUAGCACGUCUGCUUUACAAGCAGAAGGUCUUGGGUUCACGCCCCGGGUGUAGCCA